AUUGAACGCUGGCGGCAGGCCUAACACAUGCAAGUCGAACGGUAACAGGAAGCAGCUUGCUGCUUCGCUGACGAGUGGCGGACGGGUGAGUAAUGUCUGGGAAGCUGCCUGAUGGAGGGGGAUAACUACUGGAAACGGUAGCUAAUACCGCAUAAUGUCGCAAGACCAAAGAGGGGGACCUUCGGGCCUCUUGCCAUCGGAUGUGCCCAGAUGGGAUUAGCUUGUUGGUGGGGUAACGGCUCACCAAGGCGACGAUCCCUAGCUGGUCUGAGAGGAUGACCAGCCACACUGGAACUGAGACACGGUCCAGACUCCUACGGGAGGCAGCAGUGGGGAAUAUUGCACAAUGGGCGCAAGCCUGAUGCAGCCAUGCCGCGUGUAUGAAGAAGGCCUUCGGGUUGUAAAGUACUUUCAGCGGAGAGGAAGGGAGUAAAGUUAAUACCUUUGCUCAUUGACGUUACCCGCAGAAGAAGCACCGGCUAACUCCGUG
RNAcentral lists this ribosomal RNA (490 nucleotides) under uncultured bacterium. Its description in RNAcentral is "partial 16S ribosomal RNA". It matches the Rfam family "Bacterial small subunit ribosomal RNA", at positions 30 to 507 of the family's 1533-position model. The record is from RNAcentral.